GGGAAGGUAAAACGGGCAAAGCAGAUUUAGGUUCUGGUGCCGCAAGGCGUGGGAGUUCAAGUCUCUCUACCCGCACCA
RNAcentral lists this transfer RNA (78 nucleotides) under Rhizobium leguminosarum. RNAcentral's name for it is "tRNA-OTHER". The record is from RNAcentral. Lineage: Bacteria; Pseudomonadati; Pseudomonadota; Alphaproteobacteria; Hyphomicrobiales; Rhizobiaceae.